GACGAACGCUGGCGGCGUGCUUAACACAUGCAAGUCGAGCGGUAAGGCCCUUUCGGGGGUACGACGAGCGGCGAACGGGUGAGUAACACGUGGGUGACCUGCCUCUAGCUCUGGGAUAAGCCUGGGAAGCUGGGUCUAAUACCGGAUAUGACCUCGCGGUGCAUGUUGCGGGGUGGAAAGCCUUGUGCGGCUAGGGAUGGGCCCGCGGCCUAUCAGCUUGUUGGUGGGGUGANGGCCUACCAAGGCGACGACGGGUAGCCGGCCUGAGAGGGCGACCGGCCACACUGGGACUGAGACACGGCCCAGACUCCUACGGGAGGCAGCAGUGGGGAAUCUUGCGCAAUGGGCGAAAGCCUGACGCAGCGACGCGCGUGA
Molecule: ribosomal RNA, 375 nt
Filed under: uncultured bacterium
Lineage: Bacteria
Description: bacterial SSU rRNA
Rfam family: Bacterial small subunit ribosomal RNA
Source: RNAcentral